RNAcentral lists this ribosomal RNA (442 nucleotides) under uncultured bacterium. Its description in RNAcentral is "partial 16S ribosomal RNA". It matches the Rfam family "Bacterial small subunit ribosomal RNA", at positions 339 to 795 of the family's 1533-position model. The record is from RNAcentral.
CUACGGGUCGCUGCAGUGGGGAAUAUUGCACAAUGGGGGAAACCCUGAUGCAGCGACGCCGCGUGAAGGAUGAAGGUCUUCGGAUCGUAAACUUCUAUCAGCAGGGAAGAAACAAAUGACGGUACCUGACUAAGAAGCUCCGGCUAACUACGUGCCAGCAGCCGCGGUAAUACGUAGGGAGCGAGCGUUAUCCGGAUUUACUGGGUGUAAAGGGUGCGUAGGCGGCCUGGUAAGUUAGAAGUGAAAUUUUGGGGCUCAACCCCAGAGCUGCUUCUAAAACUGCUGGGCUAGAGUGCAGGAGAGGAAAGCGGAACUCCACGUGUAGCGGUGAAAUGCGUAGAGAUGUGGAGGAACACCAGUAGCGAAGGCGGCUUUCUGGACUGUAACUGACGCUGAGGCACGAAAGCGUGGGGAGCAAACAGGAUUAGAUACCCCAGUAGUC